UUGUUACGUUUGUAAAAAACAAUAUAGUCAGACACAAAUGAAAAAGGUGGUAUUUGGAAUGUCUUUGGCAGGCGCCUUUCGACCUGACCGGCACCGAGCUGCUGGUGCAGCCCUGCGCCGGAGACCUGCCAAAGCAACAGGGUAGAUGCACAAGUGUGUAGAAGAGGUUGGGCCGGAGACCCAGACUUCGUUAAUGAUCCUUCCGCAGGUUCACCUACGGAAA
RNAcentral lists this unclassified non-coding RNA (223 nucleotides) under uncultured fungus. RNAcentral's name for it is "sequence contains ITS1". Lineage: Eukaryota; Fungi. The record is from RNAcentral.